CUACAAUACGCGUAUAUAGGUAGGUGUACAUAUUAUUACAUUAUAUAAUAUUAUAUCUAUACAUAGUCACCCGGCAGCUCUGCAUGCGUGUAGUUAUUACACGGAUCGACGGCCUUUUACUGAAUUGGAUUAGAAAAACGGAUCCGGCUUGUAUUUCAGUGAUUCGAUUACAGUACAAGUCUACUUCUACAGAUAGUAUUGUACUGCUGGUCGUGUGUACAUGCAGAGUUGCUUACGGUCAUGAGAAUCGUCUCGCAAGUGCGCAGUCGUUCGUAUGAUGGAGUUCAGUCUUUCAUAUCCGGUCGAGUAUCAAUUGUAUGUCAUUUAAGAUCAAAACUAGUUAUACGGAGAGAAGAAUUAUUGAUAAAUUUCACAAAGGUAGAGAAAAAUAGAGAAGGAUAUACAAUUAUUAUCAGUCAACUAAGUCAUGUGGCGGAAUCAACGACCUAUGAUGUAUAGGUCCAAACAAUCCAUCACCACAUCGAGUUUGACUGAGCUAUUUGGGCCCAUCAAAAUGACUGUUGCGGAUAGCUUCUUGAUCUCGAUUUUAGAUAUAAUUAAAGCAAUAUUUAGCAUCGAAUAGUGAAGUCUUGUCAGUGUACCAACAGAAUUAUAGAUUGCUAGUUUCUACAUUCUGCAGUUCGAUCAGGUAGGACUAUUUAGCUCGGUUGUAAUCAUCAAGAUGACUGGCACCUUGAUCUCGGCAUCAAUACAACAAUACAAUACAUAUACAUUAUACACACUAAAUAUGCUACAUAUAUAUAUCGAUAUAAAAGUAUGCUUACCCACAUUGUUUUAUUUAAUAGUAAAUUAUUUAUUCAUUUAAUUACCUAAUCCUUAGGUAAGAACUUUAAAAUAACACUAUAUUCUAUUAUAAUAUUUGAAUAUUUUGAACUUAGAUUCAACGAAUCAACUACACAUAUAUUUUUUAAAAAGUUAAUAAUACGCGAGUCAUAUUAAUUUUUUUUUCAACAAAUAGUAAAGUUCUUUGUUAAUUUAAAUCUAAAACAUAAACAUUAUAAAGCAGUUAUUACUUGGCUUAUCGCAAAUUUCUCAUUAUUUAGAUUAAUUGUAUUAAUAUUUUUAGUUUGUAUAACUAUAAUAAUAUUUAUGUGAAGUACUGACAUAUUAAUUUGUUUUAUAUGCAUACAAAUAACUUAACACUUAACAUCAAACUUUACAGUUAAAUACAUUUAAAUUUUUUAACAAAACUAAAAAAAAAAAUAUAAAUAUCUAUUAUCUACCUAUUCUACAUGGUACAUUUACUCAUUAUUUUCAGUUUCUAGUAUAUAAAAUAGCCAUUUUCAAGCCCUUUUCAAUACUUUUGCUGUAAUAUGCACCUCAAAUAAUUUGAGAAAUGUUGUAGCUAGACAAUUUGAUGAUUAUUGGCCUAUUGUAAUAAUAUAGGUCGGUCUAUUUGGCCGUCGUUUAUAAUUAUUAAAUAUGAUUUCAUAAAAUGUUAUUUAUGAUCGUUUAUUAUUUGAUAAUUUGAAGUGAUUUAUGUAAAUAUAUUUUCAAAGGGCCGAGCUCAUUUAUAUUAUGAAAAUAAAAUAUUAAAUAAGUUAAUAAAACAUAAUAUAGUCACAUGCAAGGGCGUAGUCAGGGGGAGGGUUUCAGGGUUCAGACCCUCCCCGAAAUUUUUUCUUGAAAUGAGAUUGAAUAGGUUUUAAUGCCUAUUAUAUUUAAAACUUGUAUAAUAUAACAUAUUUAUACUCUAAAUAUCCCCCAAAAUUUUUUUCUGGCUACGGUCUUGGUCACAUGACUGCACAUGUUAUAAAGAUAUCAUAUUAUCAUAUUGUUCAUAUUACACGAUUAACAGAUACUUAGCUAUAAAGAAAACUUAAAAACUAGAAACUUUUUAAUUUGACUGCUUUAAGUUUUAUUUGGAAAAAUAAAACAAUAUUAAACAAAUAAUUUUAAUUGGUGUUUGAUUUUAUAUUAGGUAUUAUAAUUAUUAUUAUUAUAUUUAUUA
Long non-coding RNA from Rhopalosiphum padi (bird cherry-oat aphid), 1972 nucleotides. RefSeq lists it as uncharacterized. The transcript has 3 exons. The record is from RefSeq and is a predicted model, not a curated record. NCBI's taxonomy places the organism in Eukaryota, Metazoa, Arthropoda, Insecta, Hemiptera, Aphididae.